UACGAAGGGGGCUAGCGUUGUUCGGAAUCACUGGGCGUAAAGCGCACGUAGGCGGGUCUUUAAGUCAGGGGGGAAAUGCCAAGGCUCAACCUUGGAACUGCCUUUGAUACUGGAGACCUUGAGUCCGGGAGAGGUGAGUGGAAUUGCGAGUGUAGAGGUGAAAUUCGUAGAUAUUCGCAAGAACACCAGUGGCGAAGGCGGCUCACUGGCCCGGAACUGACGCUGAGACGCGAAAGCGUGGGGAGCAAACAGG
This 253-nucleotide ribosomal RNA is filed under the name uncultured bacterium. RNAcentral's name for it is "partial 16S ribosomal RNA". It matches the Rfam family "Bacterial small subunit ribosomal RNA", at positions 524 to 776 of the family's 1533-position model. The record is from RNAcentral.